GCUUACACAUGCAAGUCGCACGAGAACUCUUCUGCUUGCAGAAGAUAGUAAAGUGGCGCACGGGUGAGUAACGCGUGGGUAAUCUGCCUCUGAAUCGGGGAUAACCCGCCGAAAGGCGAGCUAAUACCGGAUAAUAUCUUUAAAACUUAGGUUUUUAAGAUUAAAGGUGGUCUCUACAUGUAAGCUACUGUUUGGAGAUGAGCCCGCGUACCAUUAGCUUGUUGGUAGGGUAAUGGCCUACCAAGGCCGCGAUGGUUAGCUGGUCUGAGAGGAUGAUCAGCCACACUGGAACUGACACACGGUCCAGACUCCUACGGGAGGCAGCAGUGAGGAAUUUUGCGCAAUGGGGGAAACCCUGACGCAGCAACGCCGCGUGAGUGAUGAAGGCUUUCGGGUCGUAAAGCUCUGUCAAGUGGGAAGAACCUGCUCGAUGAUAAUACCAUCUAGCACUGACGGUACCACUAAAGGAAGCACCGGCUAACUCCGUGCCAGCAGCCGCGGUAAUACGGGGGGUGCAAGCGUUAUUCGGAAUUAUUGGGCGUAAAGGGCGCGUAGGCGGUCUCUAAAGUCAGAUGUGAAAGCCCGGGGCUUAACCCCGGAAGUGCAUUUGAAACUCAGGGACUUGAGUAUGGGAGAGGGAAGUGGAAUUCCUGGUGUAGCGGUGAAAUGCGUAGAUAUCAGGAGGAACACCAGUGGCGAAGGCGACUUCCUGGACCAAUACUGACGCUGAGGCGCGAAGGCGUGGGGAGCAAACAGGAUUAGAUACCCUGGUAGUCCACGCAGUAAACGGUGAACACUAGGUGUAGCGGGUAUUGACCCCUGCUGUGCCGCAGCUAACGCAUUAAGUGUUCCGCCUGGGGAGUACGAUCGCAAGAUUAAACUCAAAGGAAUUGACGGGGGCCCGCACAAGCGGUGGAGCAUGUGGUUUAAUUCGACGCAACGCGAAGAACCUUACCUGGGUUUGA
Molecule: ribosomal RNA, 965 nt
Filed under: uncultured Desulfobacteraceae bacterium
Lineage: Bacteria; Pseudomonadati; Thermodesulfobacteriota; Desulfobacteria; Desulfobacterales; Desulfobacteraceae
Description: bacterial SSU rRNA
Rfam family: Bacterial small subunit ribosomal RNA
Source: RNAcentral